CUUCCCCAUUAACUUUCCUCAUUCAGUUCUUUCGAAAAAAAAUUCUUCGGUUCCAUCCUUAAACUCGAUCAAUUUCAUCACAAAAUCACUCCAAAUUUCGUCAGAAUCCCUAAUUUUUAAAUAAACUGAAUCCAAAUUCAAAUAUAACUCAUAAAAGGUAAGAUCUGUCUGUACAUCUCUAUCUUCUAAUUUGAAUAAAGAGAUGCAAAAAUUUAGUUUGAAAUGGUGAAAGUGAUGGUGGGUUGAUGCACGAUCCUAGAGAAGAUUCAAUCAACAAAAGAAGAAGAGAAUCAUCAUCAAUAUUUUAAGAAACUGAGAGUGGAGGACAGACAUAGACGCGAAUCGACCAGAUUCUGGUUUAGCAUUGUUUAUGGUUGAACACUCAUAAACAAUGAAUCCCAAGAUUCCCAACUACACAUUGGAGCAUCCAAAUUUCGUAGUACGUUUGGGUUGAAGGACAAGUGAGAGCUCAGCAAGAUAUAUGAGCAACAUGCCAGAAUUGGGUAGCAUUCAUAAGAGCUAUUGAUGAUGUUGUAAGAGAAUAUGAAAGAAUGAAGGUUGUUUACUGUUGCUGACAACGAUGAUAUCCCAUAUGGAUUUUCAAAUUAUUAAUGGUGUUAAGGUAAGGUACUAUGUUUGGGUGUAUAAAUGUUCUUGGGAUUAAGAGUCAUGCUGGUGCUUAUUGAUAAAACAGAAUGGUUAGGUUUAUAUUUGCAAUGUACUGAAUAUAUGCUUAUCCCUUUGCAUUUCCAAAAGUAAUUUUUCAGCAGACCUUCUUGGUAGAAGUGCUCCGCAGUGCUGACUGCUUAUCAUUGAAUAGUUUCUCUGACUGUUGCAAGCUAAGGAAAGCUACCUAAUGCUGAUGAUUUAGGAUGUAUAUUCUAGAGAAGAAAGAAAAGCUUCAUGAUUUCGAUCUUCAUGAGUAAUGUGGAUUUUGUUUUUCUGGCUUAUUUAUGUGUUAUUCGAGUUAAAUCUACUUUGCUGGUGUUGGUUGAAGUAUUUAUGAAAGCUCAACAAGAUAUAAAAUAUGCAAUGAGAGAAUUAGGUCUAGAAUUUGUAAGAGUUACUGAUGAUGCAAAGAUGGUUGUUAUCUGAGAAUAUUAAAGAAUCAACGUAAUAUCAACCGUUGGAAUCUUACUGGUACUGGGCUAUAUGCACACGAAAUGGGUCUGCACUGUUACGAGUAAAAGUGCAAUGAACAUUUUGUUUAUGUAUGUUGUUUAAUGUUGCUAACAGUGAUAGGCACAGUAACAAGAUGUGUUACUACUUCCUUACUUGGGUCUUAUUAAUUUACAGGUACAGUCACACCAAACUCUUUAUUCCAAGAAGUUCGAUAUUGAAAAGUCCAUUUAUAAGCCAGUGUCUUUUUUCUUGGUGAUAGGAUGUCGUAUUCAAGGUAAUAAAAUCUUAAUAAGCUAGACAUUAUGCUUGUCAGGAAACUAAGUCUUAUAGUGGUUGAGAAAUCUCCUUAGCCAUGCUUCAAAAAGGUAGUCCCUUUAAUGAAGUGGAUAAAUAUAUUGUGUAUGAUACUUCUCUUUUUAUGUGAAUUUUAUGCUUAUUGCUCAAAUUGUUGAACCUGUUUUGGUCUCUGUUGGUUGUAUGUCUUGAUAACACUCUGUCGUUUUACGCAUGUUUAGAUACAUCCAUCAGGUUCUCUUCCAGAGGGCCGGUACCUUACCGUUUGAUGUGGAUUAGAUUUACCCAAUAUUUACUGACAUAUGUAUGUUAAUCAUGUAGUGGCUUACAGUAGUGGAUCUUGUCUUUUUGAAAGGCCGACAUCCUUCACCGAAGGUAAGGUACUCUCUGGAAGAGAAGGUUUAUCUCUUAUUUGGUUACGGUCAAUUCUUCAAAAGGUUCAUCUCCUGUUGAAGGUAUAUCAUCUAAUGAAGGAGCUCGGGCACCUGGAAGAUAAAAAAAAAAAUUUCCCUUGUCGUGUGAACAUAAAGUAGCUUCUGUUGUAGAUUUUGAGAUGUUAUGUUUCUCGGUUUGUAAUUUUUCUAUUGAAACAUUCGUUGUAUAAUUGAAUUUAUGUUAAGUUUAAUGAAAUAUUUUGAUUUUUUUUACUA
Papaver somniferum (opium poppy) is the source of this 2066-nucleotide RNA transcript. RefSeq lists it as uncharacterized. The transcript is spliced from 4 exons. The record is from RefSeq and is a predicted model, not a curated record. Lineage: Eukaryota; Viridiplantae; Streptophyta; Magnoliopsida; Ranunculales; Papaveraceae.